This 200-nucleotide long non-coding RNA is filed under the name Ananas comosus (pineapple). Its description in RNAcentral is "long non-coding RNA (ACOM_LNC032694)". Lineage: Eukaryota; Viridiplantae; Streptophyta; Magnoliopsida; Poales; Bromeliaceae. The record is from RNAcentral.
GGGUCCAAAUCGGAUAUGGGUAUAAAAUAUCCGGACCCAUACCCGAAACUUUAAUGGGUAAUUUUUUUAUCUGUAUACUAUUCAUUUUUUAUCGGGUCCUAUCUGGAUCAGGUAGGGUCUAGGUAUAGUCUGGAUCGGGUAUGGUAUAUAAUUAAAAAAAAAUCAAAACCCACAAAAAUUAAGUUAGAACAAAAAUAAAA